Molecule: ribosomal RNA, 517 nt
Filed under: uncultured bacterium
Lineage: Bacteria
Description: bacterial SSU rRNA
Rfam family: Bacterial small subunit ribosomal RNA
Source: RNAcentral
AGCUAAGAAUAUUCCGCAAUGGACGAAAGUCUGACGGAGCGACGCCGCGUGGAUGAAGAAGGCCGAAAGGUUGUAAAAUCCUUUUGUUGGGGAAGAAUAAGCGUGGGAGGGAAUGCCCGCGUGAUGACAUGAACCGACGAAUAAGUCCCGGCUAACUACGUGCCAGCAGCCGCGGUAACACGUAGGGGACAAGCGUUAUUCGGAAUUACUGGGCGUAAAGGGCAUGUAGGCGGCCUGAUAAGCCUGGCGUGAAAGUCACCGGCUCAACCGGUGGAUUGCGUCGGGAACUGUUGGGCUUGAGUCAUGGAGAGGAAGGCAGAAUUCCUGGUGUAGGGGUGAAAUCUGUAGAGAUCAGGAAGAAUACCAGUGGCGAAGGCGGCCUUCUGGCCAAUGACUGACGCUGAGGUGCGAAAGUGUGGGGAUCAAACAGGAUUAGAUACCCUGGUAGUCCACACUGUAAACGAUGUGCACUAGGUGCUGGGGCGGAUGCUUCAGUGCCGGAGCUAACGCGGUAAGU